This 609-nucleotide long non-coding RNA is filed under the name Salmo salar (Atlantic salmon). RNAcentral describes it as "lncRNA (ENSSSAG00000118659.1)". Lineage: Eukaryota; Metazoa; Chordata; Actinopteri; Salmoniformes; Salmonidae. The record is from RNAcentral.
GUACAGUCCAGUCCAGAUUCCUUUCAGAGGUACGCUGUACAGUCCAGUCCAGAUUCCUUUCAGAGGUACGCUGUACAGUAGAGAUUCCUUUCAGAGGUACGCUGUACAGUCCAGUCCAGAUUCCUUUCAGAGGUACGCUGUACUGUCUAGUCCAGAUUCCUUUCAGAGGUACGCUGUCCAGUCCAGAUUCCUUUCAGAGGUACGCUGUCCAGUCCAGAUUCCUUUCAGAGGUACGCUGUCCAGUCCAGUCCAGAUUCCUUUCAGAGGUACGCUGUCCAGUCCAGUCCAGAUUCCUUUCAGAGGUACGCUGUACAGUCCAGUCCAGAUUCCUUUCAGAGGUACGCUGUACAGUACAGAUUCCACCUGCGAUCUAUAUAUGGCGUGUCUCCUAUCCUACUGUACCUCUGUAACUGACAUCGGUGUGCUGCUAACAGCUUUGCUUCCUCCACUGUCCCUGUCCCCUUAUUAGGCUCGAACCAGUGGUCUUCUGAUCACAAACACACGUGACCACCCUCUUGGACAACUUACCAACCAGUGGUGCUGUAGAAAAGGAUCCGAAUUGGAUAGCACCAUUGGUAUCGUUUCAAGCUAGCUGUGAAGUGAGCUAAU